GAUAAACGCUGGCGGCGUGCAUGAGACAUGCAAGUCGAACGGACACUUGGGGCUUGCUCCAAGUGUUAGUGGCGGACGGCUGAGUAACGCGUAGGUGACCUGCCCCGGAGUGGGGGAUAA
This 120-nucleotide ribosomal RNA is filed under the name uncultured bacterium. Its description in RNAcentral is "partial 16S ribosomal RNA". It matches the Rfam family "Bacterial small subunit ribosomal RNA", at positions 28 to 146 of the family's 1533-position model. The record is from RNAcentral.